This 1314-nucleotide ribosomal RNA is filed under the name Triticum aestivum (bread wheat). Its description in RNAcentral is "partial small subunit ribosomal RNA". The record is from RNAcentral. Lineage: Eukaryota; Viridiplantae; Streptophyta; Magnoliopsida; Poales; Poaceae.
AUGUCGGUGGACGCCCCCGUCCCUACGCUGCGUCCGGAGGAGCGGGCAGGCCUCCUGGCGCUGCUCGCAUCCGCUGCGCGCCCGCUGGCCGACGUUGUAGCCGACUUCCUCGCGCGCUUCCCCCGCGAGCGCCGCCUCCGCGUCGGCGCUACGCUCUGCUUCCUCCUAGAGGACAAGAAAAUGCUUCAUGCAACCGGUCGUCUAAUCGCAUUUGCAAUUCUUCAUCAGAGCUAUUCCUCACAGCCAGUAAAUCCCUAUGUUCCUCUGCUGUUAAAUGCAGCUUGUGAUGAAUCAUCAGAUAAAUCAGAACAAGCAUUUGUCCAACUUUUGUUGACUUCGGCCAGCGGAGACAAUAACAAUGAGGUGCUGCAAAAGUCAGCUGUAGAUUACGUAAAUGGGCCUGUUUCUGCAUCACAGGCCUUAUUGCCACGGGAACACCUUGAGAAGCAAUUCUGCAGGAGUAUUGUACAGCCUCAGCCUCAAGUUAGUAGUUUCAGAAGCGCUACUGUUAGAUGUGCUAUACCAGAUCCAGAUAUACCUCAGAGUUGUGCCAAUUCAUCAGAGAUAUCAGCGCCUGGAAGCAAACAAAAAUCUACUUCCGAUGAUAGAGAUUCUGCUCUUGUUGCUUUACUCCAAGAAAAAUCAUGGGGAAGACUGGGUCCCCAAUGGAUACGGCCGAACCCCCCAAGACUUCAUAUACUUGAUGGGGAGCUACAGUGGCUGAAUCCUGACAACAAUCAUGAGCUAUUAUGGGAUUAUAGCAUGUGUGCUGAAACGAGUCGUGGGGCUGCGAUCCGUGAUUUGAUUGCCAGAGCCUUAAAAGGUCCACUUGUACCUGCUCAACAGGAGCAAGUUGUUAUAGAAUUGGUGAAGGACUCUAAGCUAGUCUAUCACUGUGGGAUGACUCCACAGAAACUUCCAGACCUUGUUGAGCAUAAUCCACUCAUUGCUGUAGAGCUUCUUUCGAAGCUUAUGAACUCUCCUGACAUUGCAGGUUAUUUUGAUGUUCUUGUGCACAUGGAGAUGAGCCUGCAUUCGAUGGAAGUUGUAAACAGACUUACUACUGCGGUUGAACUCCCGACAGGAUUUGUCCACGAAUACAUCUCAAAUUGUAUUCAAUCUUGUCAAAACAUUAAGGAUAAGUACAUGCAGAACAGACUGGUGAGAUUGGUUUGUGUUUUCCUCCAGAGCCUCAUCCGAAAUCAGAUUAUUAACGUUCAAGAUCUUUUCAUUGAGGUACAGGCGUUCUGCAUAGAGUUCUCACGAAUAAGGGAAGCGGCUGGCUUAUUCCGUCUGCUCAAAUCUUUGGAGUGA